Astatotilapia calliptera (eastern happy) is the source of this 1909-nucleotide long non-coding RNA. The record is from Ensembl. Lineage: Eukaryota; Metazoa; Chordata; Actinopteri; Cichliformes; Cichlidae.
AAAUAACUUUUCUUCCUGUAAGACUGGUAACUUUAUAUAAUCUGUUAGCCAGUAAUAGUGACUAUUUUCAUGCUAUUUACUUGUUGUACGCUUUUUAUUAAAACAGGUGUGACUCUUAAUCUUUGGACAAGAUUUCAGGAGAUAUGAGGAGCAGUAAACAGAGUCAUUUACAUGUAAAUCCUUACAGUUAUAUAAGUGAACCUUUUUAUAUGGUGUGACAAAAUUUCGCACUUCUUUUUCACCAUUAUGUAAAUCCUGCUUUUUCUUUAAAUUCUCUUUCUGUGUAUUUGGUCCUCACACCAUACAAAUACUUCAUUACACACAUACAACUGCCUCAGACUGCGUAAAUGUACAAUAAGUACCCAGACCCGGUGAAGUGAAAUUCUUUCAUCAGAAAUGGAGCUUCUCUGGUCUAGAAAAGUGGUUUGAUGUGGGGAAGUACUGAGAACAGCACAGCUGAGUAGCCUCAGGGUUUAUUGUCUGUUUAUUGUCUGCACAAGGUCAAUCACAGUGCUUUAACUCUUUUCACCAAAAAUUACUCACUCGUAGCGAUCACAUGUGCUGAGUUGAAUUUAUGAUAUCUACGCUGUAGCCCAACUCAUGCUCAGAUUGUGAGAUGGGAACUGCCGCCACAUGUAUACAAAUAUUUUAUCUCUCUAAGCCAGCCCACCAUUGUACAGUAUUUAAUACAUUUAAAAUCUAAAACUUGAUAUUAUUAAUUAUACAAGUUUCAUUACCUGCUUUUUUCCCUUGUGCUAAAAAAAAGAUGAGCAAUAAAUAAAGCGAAUACCAGGAGUUACAAAGUUUUUCAGCAGAUACUGUGAGAAGCUGAUAUAAGCUGUGGUUUGUGACGCUUUCUUUCAAUCUUGAUAUCUUGAAAUAACAAAGUUAUCCAGAUAAUAGGAUAAUGUCCUUGUAAUCUAUGCAAAAGAAAAUAUUUCUCCAUGUGAUCACGAGAUAAUUUUCUAAUUAAUUUGAGUCUUUGUUUUCUCAAGAACAGGAGGAAAAUGUCUUUUCAUUAUAAGAAAACAUGUUGGCUAUCCUGAGAUUGUGAGAUAAUUUGCCUUGUGAUAACAUAUUUUUAAAAAUCGCGACCAUGGUCACUUUUUGCUGUUGUUGUUGUUUUUACAUUUUUGUUUUACAUUUUAUCCAUUAAGGCAUUAUUUUGUGUGAAAUUUCUAUCACACAACACCUUUCCCUUGUAGACAGACUGAGGUCAUAUGGACCCUCUGAAACACUAAUACCACCUAUCGUCUUGGAAUGUCACUCUAAGUCCACCCUAAAUAAGCCUACCCUGGAGCCUCAGUGUAAACCUACAGUGAGCAAGGUCUUAUUCCCACAGUAUACCAUGGGAAAUAUUUCCGAGCAGACAUCCUAACUAUUCAACAGCAGGUCCAGGGCCCCUGUGUGGUUUACAGUUUGCUGUUUGUGUUCUGGCUCAUUAAAUAAAUGAGCCCGGUGUGUCGUAGAGUGAACUUACCGGUCCUAAUCACUGAUAAUAAAGAUUGCUCCUUUCACAACAGAUUAUCCAGAUAUGAUAAAAUCAUCAGGAUGUUUAAUUACAUUUAUUGUUUGUUUAUGUUCAAUUUAUUUUGAUCAUGUAAACAACAUACAGAAGCUCAUUAAGGAAAGAAAAGAAAAAAGAAAUGCUUCACAAAACGCACGUCAAUAUUGCUUCACCUAUUCUGAUUCAGUUACAUGUAGAAAAGUACGGCAUCUUAUCAAAUAUGAUAUGAUAAUUAUGAUAUUAUGUUGCUCAAAUGCACACUAACUGAGUCUAAUGGAGCCCACCUUCCACAUCGAACAUGAUAUUUGUUGUCAUUUUACAGUUGUUUGUAAACAAAAUGUAAUGUAUUGUGAUGUGAAUAUGCAUUAAAGUCUUUUAUGCUUUGAUUAAAUAAUAACCAGC